GACGAACGCUGGCGGCGUGCUUAACACAUGCAAGUCGAACGGAAAGGCCCUGCUUUUGUGGGGUGCUCGAGUGGCGAACGGGUGAGUAACACGUGAGUAACCUGCCCUUGACUUUGGGAUAACUUCAGGAAACUGGGGCUAAUACCGGAUAGGAGCUCCUGCUGCAUGGUGGGGGUUGGAAAGUUUCGGCGGUUGGGGAUGGACUCGCGGCUUAUCAGCUUGUUGGUGGGGUAGUGGCUUACCAAGGCUUUGACGGGUAGCCGGCCUGAGAGGGUGACCGGCCACAUUGGGACUGGGAUACGGCCCAGACUCCUACGGGAGGCAGCAGUGGGGAAUAUUGCACAAUGGGCGGAAGCCUGAUGAAGCAACGCCGCGUGCGGGAUGACGGCCUUCGGGUUGUAAACCGCUUUCGCCUGUGACGAAGCGUGAGUGACGGUAAUGGGUAAAGAAGCACCGGCUAACUACGUG
RNAcentral lists this ribosomal RNA (468 nucleotides) under uncultured bacterium. RNAcentral describes it as "partial 16S ribosomal RNA". It matches the Rfam family "Bacterial small subunit ribosomal RNA", at positions 28 to 507 of the family's 1533-position model. The record is from RNAcentral.